RNAcentral lists this ribosomal RNA (1065 nucleotides) under Triticum aestivum (bread wheat). Its description in RNAcentral is "partial small subunit ribosomal RNA". Lineage: Eukaryota; Viridiplantae; Streptophyta; Magnoliopsida; Poales; Poaceae. The record is from RNAcentral.
AUGCCGAGCCGCCCAGUGACUAUCUUAGAUUAUUCAAACAAUAGUUUCUCUUCGGUGCUUCCAAACUUCACUCUCUAUCUUGGCCAAGAGUUCAGGAUUUCUAAAAACAAGAUUAGUGGACACAUACCUGAGUCAGUUUGUGAUUCUACUAUUCGUGUCCUCGACCUAUCUUUUAACAACUUCAGCGGGCAGAUACCUUCGUGUCUAAUAGAAGAUGGUUACAUGAGCGUGUUGAGUUUACGGGAGAAUCGAUUUGAAGGGCAGCUUCCAAGGACACUUACCAAGUGCUUGCAGCUGGAGUUCCUUGACAUAGGAAACAAUAACAUGGUAGGUAUUUUUCCAUCAUAUCUGGGGGUACUUUCCAGACUUCGUGUCCUUGUCAUGAGAUCCAACCGAUUCUAUGGCUCAAUGAGUGGUGCUCUUCACAACGGUGACAAAUCUGGAGAAUACUUCUCUAGCUUGCAGAUUCUUGAUGUUGCCUCGAACAAUUUCUUUGGUAAUUUGAGUCCAGAUUGGACAUUCAACAAGAUCUUGACAACUUUAACAGUCAUUGACCUAUCAAAUAAUUCAUUUGAUGGCACCAUUCCUAGAUCGGUUGGGAGGCUUAUUUCGUUGCAUGUACUAAACAUGUCAGGCAACGCCUUCACGAGUGAUAUUCCGCAGGAAUUUGGUGGGAUGACUCAACUAGAAUCUCUCGACCUGUCUCAGAACCAGCUUUUUGGUGAUAUUCCAGAGGCACUAACAAAUCUCACCUUUCUUGGUAUCUUGAACUUGUCCAACAACCAAUUGGUGGGAACGAUACCUCGGUCAGGUCAAUUUGCUACGUUUGAAAACAGUUCAUUCAAAGGGAAUCUGGGGCUGUGUGGACCGCCAUUGUCCAGCCCCUGUGGCAUUUCACCUGCUCCUCCAAGUACAGCGCACGCAGAUGAUUCGUCUCAUGUUGAUGUGGUCUUGUUUCUCUUCUCUGGGCUCGGCUUUGGCGUUGGAUUUGCAGCUGCCAUUCUGAUGAGAUGGGGUCGAAUCGGCAAAUGGUUUGUUAAAUCUGCAAGAGCUUUGAGGACUUGA